Molecule: ribosomal RNA, 256 nt
Filed under: uncultured bacterium
Lineage: Bacteria
Description: partial 16S ribosomal RNA
Rfam family: Bacterial small subunit ribosomal RNA
Source: RNAcentral
GCAAGUCGAACGAGAACGCUCCUUCGGGAGUUAUUAAAGUGGCGCACGGGUGAGGAACGCGUAGGUAAUCUACCCUUUGGCGGGGGACAACAUUCCGAAAGGAAUGCUAAUACCGCGUAAGACCACACUCACUACGGUGAGAGCGGUUAAAGGUGCCUCAAAGCACCACCAGAGGAUGAGCCUGCGUCCCAUCAGCUUGUUGGUAAGGUAAUGGCCUACCAAGGCGACGAUGGUUAGCGGGUCUGAGAGGAUGAUC